CACCAGGUUGAUUCUGCCUGACGUGGAUGCUAGUCUCAUAGGUUAAGCCAUGCAUGUGCAAGCGAAGCGUAAGUGGAGCGGCGCAAGGCUCAGUAACGGGCGAGUAUUUGAUCUUCCUAGAGUGGAUAUCCUCUGCUAACCGGAGGGCAAAACACAAGAUGAGCGAUUGACGAGGUCGUUCGUCUAACGAAUAGUGUAGGAGAGUAAGAAGCCAUCCCAUCAGUUAGUAAGUAGGGUAAGGGCCUACUUAGACGAAGACGGGUACGGGGAAUUAUCGUUUGAUUCCGGAGAGGGAGCCUGAGAGACGGCUACCAGGUCCAAGGACAGCAGCAGGCGCGAAAAUUACCGCAGCCUGCGUUCAGGGCGGUAGUAAGGAGACGUGAAAACAAUGUGCGGGCAAAAAACGCACUAGAUACAGGAGGACAAGACUGGUGCCAGCACCCGCGGUAAUACCAGCUCCUGGAGUGUCUAUGAUGAUUGCUGCAGUUAAAGAGUUCGUAGUCGAAGUGGUUAUAACGGUGUAACAGGCCUUCUCUCAAGGAGGGUUAUGCGCCGUGAUUCCAUGGAAUAAGGAGCGUUUAGGGGCCAGGUUAUUAAGCGACGAGGGGUGAAAUCUGGUGACUCGCUUAGGAGCAACAGAGGCGAAAGCGCUGGCCAGGAGCGAAUCCGAUGAUAAAGGACGUAGGCUAGAGGAUCGAAGACGAUUAGAGACCGUUGUAGUUCUAGCAGUAAACGAUGCCGAUACCGUGGUGCGGAUACCGACGGGAAGAGAAAUCGAGUAGGGCCCUGGGGAGAGUACACGCGCAAGAGGAAAUUUAAAGGAAAUUGACGGAAGAACACCACAAGGAGUGGAGUGUGCGGCUUAAUUUGACUCAACGCGGGACAGCUUACCAGGCCCGACGGCCGGACGAGUGUUGUACACGAUAGGUCGAAGAGUGGUGCAUGGCCGUUAACGACGAGUGAGGUGACUUUUGGGUUAAAUCCGGGAGGUAGUGAGACCCCUACCGAAAGGGACAGGUGCCGAAAGCACAGGAAGGAAGGGUCAAGAACAGGUCAGUGAUGCCCUCAGAUGGUCUGGGCUGCACGCGCACUACAGUGGUCAUAGAAAUGAAACGAUAGAAUUAAAGAUGAUCGAGAGGGAAUGAGCUUUGUAAGAGGCUCAGGAACGAGGAAUUGCUAGUAAUCGCGGACUCAUUAAGACGCGAUGAAUACGUCCCUGUUCUUUGUAGUACGCACCGCCCGUCGUUAUCGAAGAUGGAGUCAGGCGCGGAACAAGCGAGAGCGAGUGAGUGCAGGAUUCUAGAUGUGAUACAAGUUCGUAACAAGGUAGCUGUAGGAGAACCUGUGACUGG
RNAcentral lists this ribosomal RNA (1352 nucleotides) under Glugea anomala. RNAcentral describes it as "SSU rRNA". It matches the Rfam family "Microsporidia small subunit ribosomal RNA". The record is from RNAcentral. Lineage: Eukaryota; Fungi; Microsporidia; Glugeidae.